Molecule: small nucleolar RNA, 138 nt
Organism: Ornithorhynchus anatinus (platypus)
Lineage: Eukaryota; Metazoa; Chordata; Mammalia; Monotremata; Ornithorhynchidae
Source: RefSeq, a predicted model, not a curated record
CCCCUCUCAGGGUCGCAUCUGGAGAGUUUCCAGUACUCUAACAGUCUCGACUAUGGGAGGAAGAGUCAAGCAGAGGCCUAUCCAUUCCAUUCCUAACUUGGGAAGUGGUUAGUGGGCGGAAGGCAAUCUGCUACAAAC